ACGCGGUUAGACUUAAGGGCUGGUCUUUAUAAGUAAAAAGGCGUAAAGGUGUGUAGGCCAAGAAAAUAUCAAAGAAGGUAAAUGGAAUUUUUCUGGAGCGGUAGAAUGUGAGGAUAGAAAAUAGAACACCUAAGGUUAAAACUAUUUACCACAAAAUAGGCUGAAACAUGAAAGUGUGGGGAGCAAACAGGAUUAGAUACCCUGGUAGUCCACACUGUGAACUCUGAAGAUGAUGCUUAGCAGACCCGAAAGGUUAAAUCUUCCGCCUGAGUAGUACGAUCGCAAGAUUAAAAUUCAAAAACUUUGGCUGUUCACUAUUUCGAUUAGAGGAGCGUGUAGUUUAAUUCGAUGGUCCGCGUGUUACCUUACCUCAGCUUGAAUCUAUGACCGGUAUUGCAUGGCCGUCGUAAGUCCGUGUGUUAAGCUAGAAGGGACCCAAUCCGGGCGUUUGCCCGAAGGAAGUCAGGUCUUAUGAUCCGAAUGUUGAGGGAUUAUAUGCGCUACAUUUUCUUAUAUAAUGAGAGACUUGAAAGGUAAGCCUCUAAAGUAAGAGUUCGGAAGGUCGCUGUAAAACGACUGGAAGUUGGAUUUAAUAGUAAUCGGAAAGUAGAGC
This 613-nucleotide ribosomal RNA is filed under the name Diadumene sp. MZUSP 002498. RNAcentral describes it as "partial 12S ribosomal RNA". It matches the Rfam family "Bacterial small subunit ribosomal RNA", at positions 515 to 1355 of the family's 1533-position model. Lineage: Eukaryota; Metazoa; Cnidaria; Anthozoa; Actiniaria; Diadumenidae. The record is from RNAcentral.